AUGAACGCUGGCGGCGUGCCUAAUACAUGCAAGUCGAGCGAACAGACGAGGAGCUUGCUCCUCUGACGUUAGCGGCGGACGGGUGAGUAACACGUGGAUAACCUACCUAUAAGACUGGGGUAACUUCGGGAAACCGGAGCUAAUACCGGAUAAUAUAUUGAACCGCAUGGUUCAAUAGUGAAAGACGGUUUUGCUGUCACUUAUAGAUGGAUCCGCGCCGCAUUAGCUAGUUGGUAAGGUAACGGCUUACCAAGGCGACGAUGCGUAGCCGACCUGAGAGGGUGAUCGGCCACACUGGAACUGAGACACGGUCCAGACUCCUACGGGAGGCAGCAGUAGGGAAUCUUCCGCAAUGGGCGAAAGCCUGACGGAGCAACGCCGCGUGAGUGAUGAAGGUCUUCGGAUCGUAAAACUCUGUUAUUAGGGAAGAACAAAUGUGUAAGUAACUAUGCACGUCUUGACGGUACCUAAUCAGAAAGCCACGGCUAACUACGUG
Molecule: ribosomal RNA, 496 nt
Filed under: uncultured bacterium
Lineage: Bacteria
Description: partial 16S ribosomal RNA
Rfam family: Bacterial small subunit ribosomal RNA
Source: RNAcentral